UACGUAGGGUGCGAGCGUUGUCCGGAAGUUAUUGGGCGUAAAGAGCUCGUAGGCGGUUUGUCGCGUCUGCUGUGAAAUCCCGAGGCUCAACUUCGGGUCUGCAGUGGGUACGGGCAGGCUAGAGUGCGGUAGGGGAGAAUGGAACUCCUGGUGUAGCGGUGGAAUGCGUAGAGAUCCGGAGGAACACCAGCGGCGAAGGCGGCAUCCUGGACUGGUACUGACGCUCAAGAGCGAAAGC
RNAcentral lists this ribosomal RNA (238 nucleotides) under uncultured bacterium. RNAcentral describes it as "partial 16S ribosomal RNA". It matches the Rfam family "Bacterial small subunit ribosomal RNA", at positions 524 to 760 of the family's 1533-position model. The record is from RNAcentral.